CUUGAAUAAGUCUCGGCUAACUACGUGCCAGCAGCCGCGGUAACACGUAGGAGGCGAGCGUUAUCCGGAUUUAUUGGGCGUAAAGCGCAUGCAGGUGGCUAGGUAAGUCGGGUGUGAAAGCCCCGGACUUAAUCCGGGGAGGUCAUUCGAUACUGCUUGGCUUGAGAGCGGGAGAGGGAAGUGGAAUUCUCGGUGUAGUGGUGAUAUGCGUAGAUAUCGAGAGGAACACCAGUGGCGAAGGCGGCUUCCUGGCCCGUAUCUGACACUAAGAUGCGAAAGCGUGGGUAGCAAACGGACUUAGAUACUCCGGUAGUCCACGCUGUAAACGAUGGGUACUAGGUGUAGGGGGUGUAAAACUCUCUGUGCCAUAGUUAACGCACUAAGUACCCCGCCUGGGGACUACGGUCGCAAGGCUAAAACUCAAAGGAAUUGACGGGGGCCCGCACAAGCAGCGGAGCGUGUGGUUCAAUUCGAAGAUACACGAAGAACCUUACCUGGGCUUGACAUGUUGGUAGUAGUGAAGCGAAAGCGGAACGAUCCUUCGGGAAGCCAUCACAGGUGCUGCAUGGCUGUCGUCAGCUCGUGCCGUGAGGUGUUGGGUUAAGUCCUGUAACGAGCGCAACCCUCGCUGCCAGUUACAAGUGUCUGGCGGGACUGCCGGUGACAAACCGGAGGAAGGUGGGGAUGACGUCAAGUCAGCAUGGCCUUUAUGUCCAGGGCUACACACACGCUACAAUGGCCGGUACAAUAGGUUGCCAAGUCGUGAGGCGGAGCUAAUCCUCAAAACCGGUCUCAGUUCGAAUUGCAGGCUGCAACCCGCCUGCAUGAAGUUGGAGUUGCUAGUAAACGCGCGUCAGCAAUAGUGCGUUGAUACGUUCCCGGGCCUUGUACACACCGCCCGUCACGUCAUGGGAGUUGGUAACACCUGAAGACAGU
This 936-nucleotide ribosomal RNA is filed under the name uncultured organism. RNAcentral's name for it is "bacterial SSU rRNA". It matches the Rfam family "Bacterial small subunit ribosomal RNA", at positions 481 to 1431 of the family's 1533-position model. The record is from RNAcentral.